RNAcentral lists this transfer RNA (77 nucleotides) under Clostridium botulinum. Its description in RNAcentral is "tRNA-His". The record is from RNAcentral. Lineage: Bacteria; Bacillati; Bacillota; Clostridia; Eubacteriales; Clostridiaceae.
GUGGGCAUAGUUCAGUUGGUAGAGCGCCAGAUUGUGGUUCUGGUUGUCAAGGGUCACUUUUACUUUCUUUUCCUACA